RNAcentral lists this ribosomal RNA (479 nucleotides) under uncultured bacterium. Its description in RNAcentral is "partial 16S ribosomal RNA". It matches the Rfam family "Bacterial small subunit ribosomal RNA", at positions 28 to 507 of the family's 1533-position model. The record is from RNAcentral.
GACGAACGCUGGCGGCGCGCUUAACACAUGCAAGUCGAGCGAUGAAAUUUCGACAGAUCCCUUCGGGGUGAAGAUGAAAUGGAUUAGCGGCGGACGGGUGAGUAACACGUGAGUAACCUGCCUUUGACAUUGGGAUAGCCUCGGGAAACUGGGAUUAAUACCAAAUGACACUAACUGAUCACAUGAUCAAUUAGUCAAAGAAAUUCGGUCAAAGAUGGACUCGCGGCUGAUUAGCUAGUUGGUGAGGAAACGGCCCACCAAGGCGACGAUCAGUAGCCGGCCUGAGAGGGUGAUCGGCCACAUUGGAACUGAGACACGGUCCAAACUCCUACGGGAGGCAGCAGUGGGGAAUAUUGCACAAUGGGGGAAACCCUGAUGCAGCGACGCCGCGUGAGCGAAGAAGGCCUUCGGGUCGUAAAGCUCUUUUAUGAGGGAAGAUAAUGACGGUACCUCAAGAAAAAGCCCCGGCUAACUACGUG